RNAcentral lists this ribosomal RNA (1000 nucleotides) under uncultured bacterium. Its description in RNAcentral is "bacterial SSU rRNA". It matches the Rfam family "Bacterial small subunit ribosomal RNA", at positions 356 to 1376 of the family's 1533-position model. The record is from RNAcentral.
GGGGAAUAUUGCACAAUGGGGGAAACCCUGAUGCAGCGACGCCGCGUGAAGGAAGAAGUAUCUCGGUAUGUAAACUUCUAUCAGCAGGGAAGAUAGUGACGGUACCUGACUAAGAAGCCCCGGCUAACUACGUGCCAGCAGCCGCGGUAAUACGUAUGGUGCAAGCGUUAUCCGGAUUUACUGGGUGUAAAGGGAGCGCAGGCGGUGCGGCAAGUCUGAUGUGAAAGCCCGGGGCUCAACCCCGGUACUGCAUUGGAAACUGUCGUACUAGAGUGUCGGAGGGGUAAGCGGAAUUCCUAGUGUAGCGGUGAAAUGCGUAGAUAUCGGGAGGAACACCAGUGGCGAAGGCGACCUACUGGGCACCAACUGACGCUGAGGCUCGAAAGCAUGGGUAGCAAACAGGAUUAGAUACCCUGGUAGUCCAUGCCGUAAACGAUGAUUACUAGGUGUUGGAGGAUUGACCCCUUCAGUGCCGCAGUUAACACAAUAAGUAAUCCACCUGGGGAGUACGACCGCAAGGUUGAAACUCAAAGGAAUUGACGGGGGCCCGCACAAGCAGUGGAGUAUGUGGUUUAAUUCGACGCAACGCGAAGAACCUUACCAAGUCUUGACAUCCCUUGACGAUGCUGGAAACAGUAUUUCUCUUCGGAGCAAGGAGACAGGUGGUGCAUGGUUGUCGUCAGCUCGUGUCGUGAGAUGUUGGGUUAAGUCCCGCAACGAGCGCAACCCUUAUCUUUAGUAGCCAGCGGUUCGGCCGGGCACUCUAGAGAGACUGCCAGGGAUAACCUGGAGGAAGGCGGGGAUGACGUCAAAUCAUCAUGCCCCUUAUGACUUGGGCUACACACGUGCUACAAUGGCGUAAACAAAGGGAAGCGGAGCCGUGAGGCCGAGCAAAUCUCAAAAAUAACGUCUCAGUUCGGACUGUAGUCUGCAACCCGACUACACGAAGCUGGAAUCGCUAGUAAUCGCAGAUCAGAAUGCUGCGGUGAAUACGUUCCCG